Brienomyrus brachyistius is the source of this 1534-nucleotide long non-coding RNA. RefSeq lists it as uncharacterized. The transcript is spliced from 4 exons. Lineage: Eukaryota; Metazoa; Chordata; Actinopteri; Osteoglossiformes; Mormyridae. The record is from RefSeq and is a predicted model, not a curated record.
UCUCAUGCAAUCGUCACUAUUCAGCAGACUGCAGCUGCUCGUUGACUGCGACUGUAACAUACUGAAAAUGCGGAAAUGCUCCGAUCCGCCGUAACCUUGUGUGAAAUCUUCGACCUGAACUUAAGCAUUAACUUCAAAGACCUGAACAGGAACCGAGGUUUCUGGAGAACGGGAUUGUCAAAAUUACACGCAGAAACAUGAAAAUGCUUCCUGCUGUGAACUCCGGCGCUGCCUUCGGGGUCAUAAAGAGGAGAAAAUUAACCGAGGGAUUCGCCGACUACUCAGCAAUGGUAAAAAAAAAAAACCCAGAAGACGGGGAAGUUCUGCACAGUGACCUCCAUCCUGGAGCCUGGCGUGAAGUUCUGCAGACACCAGAGGGAGUCAUGGCGCUCCAGGUUUUUCUCACUCUCCUUGAACUCCAGCCCCCUAUCCCCCCCCCUCACCCCACGAUGGUGGUUUCACCCACUAACACCGGAAUCCCGUGAACCCAAGAAAAAGAUACGGAAACCCCAAAUGCGUUCAAAAGGUCUUUUAUAUCUAAUUUAUAUGCAGAAUAAUGAGGGGAAAAAGAGAGAGAUGGGGGUAGAGAAAGAGGCGGAUGGAAGCAGAGACUGGAUAUACAGUAGGCAUGUGGAAGAGGCAUCGCCGGUGUGAGGCAUGGCAGGGCCCUGCUGGCUGACUGACCGCACAUGGCCUACUUUGGGUAUCUCCGCCAGGAAGGUGCCUGGUCCCCUGGCUGAACCCUCCAUGUGAACACCACGCACAGAGGAUUUAAUCAGAGCUACAGGUCCAUGCCAAUCCUGGCCGGGGCGUCUCUUACGUUCUUACAGUCUCGAGCUCUGCUUUUUACAGUUACUCUUACAGUUAUGCUUCAAAAAUAUGAGCUUCAAGGUAAGACAGAGGUUAUACAGCUCUUCAUACAUGUAUGUUUAACAGUUUAUUUUUUUCUGCCCUGAAACAGUGCUCUUUAUGCUGUGAUUCAAUGUUACUGCACUGUCAGAAAAAAGGGUGUAUCCCUGGUACGGUUUUGUUCCCCAAGGUACAAAGAACACUAAUGUACCCCCAAUGGUACAAAAAUGUUCCUCAGAGUCCAUUCCUGUACCUUAGAAUAAAAGGUACAUUUACCUACAACUAUGGUACAACUGGCAGACCCUUGAGGAUACAAUCUCAGUGACAAGUAAUUGUACCCUCAAUGGUGCACACUGGCAAUUUUUUCUGACAGAGUGUGGUUUCUUUAAUAGAAAAAAAAAUCUGAUCUUUUUUUUUUGCAAUUAAACAGUGUUCAGCCACUGUACAGAAAGGCCACUAUCUCAGGGGUCUGCAACCUUAUUUACAGUGAGAGCUACUUCCCAAAGAAAAUAGUCUGGGGAGCUACGUGUUUGACAGAAAACAAAAAAUGGGCGGAGCCUUACUUGUGAUCCAGAGCGGUGAGGAGGCCGCCCCUCUGCUUUGCCCUCAUGGCCACGCUCUUCAUCUUCAUCUCGGUGAUGCUGGGCAGCAGCAGUGGUAUGGCGACGCAGAAGAGUGCCAGCUG